ACCCGCACAAGCGGCGGAGCAUGCGGAUUAAUUCGAUGCAGCGCGAGAACUUACCAAGGCUUGACAUAUAGAGGAAACGUCUGGAAACAGUCGCCCCGCAAGGUCUCUAUACAGGUGGUGCAUGGUUGUCGUCAGCUCGUGUCGUGAGAUGUGGGUUAAGUCCCGCAACGAGCGCAACCUCGUUCUAUGUUGCCAGCACGUAAUGGUGGGAACUCAUGGGAUACUGCCGGGGUCAACUCGGAGGAAGGUGGGGAUGACGUCAAAUCAUCAUGCCCCUUAUGUCUUGGGCUUCACGCAUGCUACAAUGGCCGGUACAAAGGGCUGCAAUACCGUAAGGUGGAGCGAAUCCCAAAAAGCCGGUCCCAGUUCGGAUUGAGGUCUGCAACUCGACCUCAUGAAGUCGGAGUCGCUAGUAAUCGCAGAUCAGCAACGCUGCGGUGAAUACGUUCCCGGGUCUU
Molecule: ribosomal RNA, 458 nt
Filed under: uncultured Microbacterium sp.
Lineage: Bacteria; Bacillati; Actinomycetota; Actinomycetes; Micrococcales; Microbacteriaceae
Description: bacterial SSU rRNA
Rfam family: Bacterial small subunit ribosomal RNA
Source: RNAcentral